UAUCCAAGAGAUCUCAAAUCCAUAGGCGAGAGCCAUGUGAAUGGCAGCGUAGGAAUGGUUAUUGAAAGUCCUGAACGAUGUGGGAGCAACAAGCUUCACGUCACACCCAACUUCUAAGUCCUCAGCUUUUAGGUCUCCACCCACUGCAUAUGCAUAACCAUUGGACUCCCACUUCACGCACUCACCACUCUCCACAUACUUUCCGUUCUCUCUCACCGAAUGGUUACAGUUCAGAAACACUAUAUGCUCGAAACUCAGAUAUUCCCAAUUAC
This 272-nucleotide long non-coding RNA is filed under the name Vigna radiata. Its description in RNAcentral is "long non-coding RNA (VRAD_LNC005641)". The record is from RNAcentral. Lineage: Eukaryota; Viridiplantae; Streptophyta; Magnoliopsida; Fabales; Fabaceae.